RNAcentral lists this long non-coding RNA (1227 nucleotides) under Serinus canaria (Common canary). RNAcentral describes it as "lncRNA (ENSSCAG00000014532.1)". The record is from RNAcentral. Lineage: Eukaryota; Metazoa; Chordata; Aves; Passeriformes; Fringillidae.
UGGAGCGAGGCCCGCGGCUGGGGACGCGUCCUCGUCCCCAGCGCCACCCCUGGUGCCCGGCUCGGCGGCGGGAUGCUGGUGGCAGGGAGGGGACACGCAUCCAGUGUGGUGGGUGGCACCUGCGUCCCAGCAGUGGUCACAGAAGGACCUGACGCCCCUCUGCAAUGUGGGGAUGGGCAGCCCCCGGGCUGAGUGGUGCCCAGGUGGGAUGUCCCAUCCUUCCGCAGGAAUCUGGGGACGAGGGCACUCCCCAGCAUGCCUCAAGCCUGUCUAAAAAUCCGGCUGGUUUAUGAGCCCCCAGGCACGAGCUCCCCCUUUCCCAUGGGAAACCAUUCCCUGUCCUGCCCACAGUCUGCACUGGGACGCUUUUAGCCCAUCACCUUCCCUUCCAUACCCGCAAGCACCAGCGGUAGGGCUGGGAUGUGGAUGCUGGUCCCCUGCCUGCCCUGCCUUCCCUGCCCACGAAGGGUUACAACCAGCCCGGAUUGCUCCGAUUUCACCCUUCCAUCUGCUGCUGGCCUUUUUGGAGCCCUGCAGCGGGCAGGGGAAGGCAGCGGGAGCACACCGGGGUCAGGGCUGAGAGCGGCUCGAGGUGGGUGUCACCCUCCUGGAGUGUCCCCAACCUGGUGGGGACCCCGGCCGAGGGCACCCGGCGCGGUGGCUGCAAGGAGGCGCCUUUGGAGCCGGAGAGCGCUGGCGGAGGGGCGAUGCCUGCGGACGGGACCCGCCGAGGAGGGCUGCCGCGGCCAGUGGAGCCAAAUUUGGUGGCUGGGGGGGGCAGGGUGUGACGGGUCACCCUGGCAGAGGCUGAGACUCCUCCUCUGCGGGGAGGAGGACAAAGGAUGGAAGCGGCUGCCCCGUUGCAACACAUCCCCGGCGAGCACAAUGGAAAUGCCAUCCUCCGUCUUGUGAAACAGGAACCUCAUAUGAUCUCGCUGAAGGCUUGGGGACACUCUUGUAGGUCUGAGCGUGACGCUCCCCGGGCUCUUUUCUCUACCCGCAGGGGGACAGGGAGAGUGAGGAGUACCCCAGAGCAUCCCUGCCCUGGUGAGGACCCAACUGCCACCACUGUCCCCUGUGGCACUCUGGACCCCCUGGCAGGAGGAAGGUGAUGCCUCGCCACUCACCCUAGGGCCAAAACACCCCCAAGUUCCCCCCCAGCCCCACUAAAACACCUUCCUAUGGUUCCCCCACAGCCCUGCUGAGCAUCCCCCUCCCACCCUCCUC